Molecule: unclassified non-coding RNA, 310 nt
Filed under: plant metagenome
Description: partial contains 5.8S ribosomal RNA, internal transcribed spacer 2, and large subunit ribosomal RNA
Rfam family: 5.8S ribosomal RNA (bases 1-105)
Source: RNAcentral
GAAAUGCGAUAAGUAGUGUGAAUUGCAGAAUUCAGUGAAUCAUCGAAUCUUUGAACGCACAUUGCGCCCCUUGGUAUUCCAUGGGGCAUGCCUGUUCGAGCGUCAUUUGUACCCUCAAGCUCUGCUUGGUGUUGGGUGUUUGUCCCCGUCUCCGCGCGUGGACUCGCCCCAAAGUGAUUGGCAGCCUGCGUACUGGUCCCGGAGCGCAGCACAUGUCGCGCAAACGAGUGCCUUGGUACGGCGGCGUCCAUAAGCCCCUCUCUCACGCUCUUGACCUCGGAUCAGGUAGGGAUACCCGCUGAACUUAAGC